ACCCCUCGGGGGACCGAGGAACGCGCUCUGCAAGGAUGCGGGCGUAAUGGUCGUCAACGACCCGUCUUGAAACACGGACCAAGGAGUCGAACAUUUGUGCGAGUGUUUGGGUGUCAAACCCUCACGCGUAAUGAAAGUGAACGGAGGUGAGAGCCCUUACGGGUGCAUCAUCGACCGAUCCUGAUGUCUUCGGAUGGAUUUGAGUAAGAGCAUAACUGUUCGGACCCGAAAGAUGGUGAACUAUGCGUGGAUAGGGUGAAGCCAGAGGAAACUCUGGUGGAGGCUCGCAGCGGUUCUGACGUGCAAAUCGAUCGUCAAAUCUGCGCAUGGGGGCGAAAGAC
This 341-nucleotide ribosomal RNA is filed under the name Nodulisporium gregarium. RNAcentral's name for it is "partial large subunit ribosomal RNA". It matches the Rfam family "Eukaryotic large subunit ribosomal RNA", at positions 588 to 931 of the family's 3401-position model. Lineage: Eukaryota; Fungi; Ascomycota; Sordariomycetes; Xylariales; Xylariaceae. The record is from RNAcentral.